CUCAUAUCUAAAACACCAUAUAUAUAAAUAUUGAUAAAAGUUGCUGCAUCAGUAAUGAUUUAGCAGAAGUUGUAACCAACAUAUCAGAAUUCACAAAAUGUUGACUAGAAAAACAUAUUUUUUUUCUUUUUUACAUUUUACAUGUUAAUAAUUUGAGUGUUUGAAACACAUUUCAUUAUUGUUAUAGCACAAUUGUAGAUUUGUUUUAAAGGAUCAUAAAAACAAUUUAAAAUUCAACUGUAGAAAAUUUAGCCACAAUGGAAAUGAUCUUAACAAUAUUAUAAUAUCACACAGCAAAGAAAAGAAAUGAAUUCAGCAGUUUAUUUAUUCAUAUGACUUAUAGCUGAAGGUUAAACACGAACAGCUUUCUUACCGGUCAUUUAUAUACAAUAAAUGUUAGUUGAUAACAUUCAAACAAAAGAUUAUAAUUGCCAUAUUUCAUUAACAGAGUAUACAAUAUUAAUUAUAAAUUCAGAAUGUAUACAUAAAAGAAAGAGAAGACGAGAAUAAGAAGAAAGAUAGGAAACAUAUAUAAGAAUCAAAAUAGUAAUUCAACAUUUAGUCAUAAAAUUCUACAGGC
Molecule: long non-coding RNA, 580 nt
Filed under: Mytilus galloprovincialis (Mediterranean mussel)
Lineage: Eukaryota; Metazoa; Mollusca; Bivalvia; Mytilida; Mytilidae
Source: RNAcentral